RNAcentral lists this ribosomal RNA (261 nucleotides) under uncultured archaeon. Its description in RNAcentral is "partial 16S ribosomal RNA". It matches the Rfam family "Archaeal small subunit ribosomal RNA", at positions 748 to 1008 of the family's 1478-position model. The record is from RNAcentral.
UAGCCGUAAACGAUACUCGCUAGGUGUCGGCCACGGUGCGACCGUUGUCGGUGCCGUAGGGAAGCCGUGAAGCGAGCCACCUGGGAAGUACGGCCGCAAGGCUGAAACUUAAAGGAAUUGGCGGGGGAGCACAACAACGGGUGGAGCUUGCGGUUUAAUUGGAUUCAACGCCGGAAAUCUUACCGGGACCGACAGCAACAUGAAGGCCAGGCUGAAGACUUUGCCGGAUUAGCUGAGAGGAGGUGCAUGGCGUGUGACUGU